GAAAGGUGGUGAACUUUGCCUGCACAGGUUGAAGUCAGGGGAAACUCUGAUGGAGGACCGUACGGGUUAUUGAUGUGCAAAUCAUUUUUCUGAUGUAGGUAAAGGUGCGAAAGACUCAUCGAACCACCUAAUAGCUGGUUUCCUCCGAAGUUUCCCUCAGGAUAGCUGUAAUGCAUUUAGUUAAGGGGAGUAGAGAUAUGGGUAGAGGUGCAGGGAGCCUUCGGGUUCUCAACUUAUUUCCAAACUUCGAACCUCCUUGUUAGGCAUUUACCUAACUGGAAAUGCUUAAAUGAAUUAGCGUUACAAGUGGGCUCUGACCGGUAAGCGGUCAUGGCGAAAUGGGAUGAACCAUACGUCUGAAUAAGGUGCCGAAAUGUACUAUCACUGAUACCAUAAAGGGAGUCCAUGUAUUUAGACAGCAGGUCGGUGCCCCUAAAAGCAGGUAUCCGCUAAAGAGUGUGUUAAAACUCACCUGCCGAAUACUAGGGCCCCGAAAAUGAAUGGCGCAUAUAGUACUACCGAUCUCAGACAUCAGUUCUAUUGAACUGAGAGUAGGGGGAUGUGGACAUUUUUGUGAAGGUGCAAUGUGAGUUGGACUGGAAGAAUGUCUAUUACAGAUCCUAAUUGAAGUAGCGAUUAUCCAGGCUUGUAUCCUGGGGGCUGAUGAGGAGUAGGGUUUCUGGACAACUUAAACAGAUCCAGAGUUAGUCGAUCCUAAUCUCAAUAAUGGGAGAAAGGGAGUACAGUUGAUAUUCUGUAACUGACAACAGUUCGCGGCAACGCAUACUAUUUUUCUCCGCCAAUCUUAUACCGUUGGUAGGGAUCUCUUUCCUACAUGACAGUACUAAUACCCAGGGAAACUGUCAUCAGGCGAACUGCGGCGUUCUGCUGGCAAAACAUAGCUUCGGGUUAUGUCAAUGGCUAUUGGAUUGGUCCAUGAAGCGAAAAAUAGUUUACUGUGUCACUCGUACCGAUAACCGCAUCAGGUCUUCUAGGUAAGUAGCCUAUGGCCAUUGAGGCAUGAUAGUUCAGGGAAUUCGGCCAAUUAGAGCUGUAACUUCGGGAUAAAGCUUGGCUCUGAUGAAAAUCAGAACCGAUUGUUACGCGGAGAGCCCAACUGUUUAAUAAAAACGUAGUGUCGCGCUGUGGUAGUAUAGCCAGUGAACGCGACAUGAAUCCUGCUCAGUGCUGUGUCUGUUAAUAUGGUUCAAGCCAACGAAGCACCGGUAAAUAGCUGGGGUAACUAUGACUCUUAUCAAAGUAGCGAAAUACCUCGUCACUUAAUUAGUGACCUGCAUGAACGGAGCUAUGAGGUUCUCACUGUCCCAAACUGUCUCUCAGCGAACCAACUGUAGUGGGAACGGUCACUAGAUAUCCAGCGGGGAAAGAAGACCCUGUAGAGCUUCACUUUGGUCUAGUCUUGUAUAGUUCCUGCGGGGGUGUAGACUAGGUGGGAGAGCAAUCGAUUCUGAAAAACCACUACCCUGUUUGGAAUUAUGCUUACCUAUCACAAGGAAUAGGACUAGAUAGAAAGUUUGGCUGGGGCGGCACACCUUCGAAAGAGCAGCGAAGGUGUCCUAAGUUGAGCUCAGUGAGGACAGAAAUCUCACGUUGAGGAUAAGGCCAAAAGCUCAAUUUACUGUGCCUUUUUGUACUAGGAUCAGUUACGAAAGUAAGGCCUAACGAUCCCUAAAUAGCCUCAGGUGCGUGAGGAUUGGGGUGACAGACAAGUUACCUCCGGGACAACUGGCUUGUGGCUGCUAAGAGAUCAAAUCAACGCAGCUUUUUGAUUCUUCGAUGUCGG
Trichomonas vaginalis G3 is the source of this 1804-nucleotide non-coding RNA. The record is from Rfam. Lineage: Eukaryota; Parabasalia; Trichomonadida; Trichomonadidae.